GAGUGUUACAGCUCUUUUAGAAUUUGUCUAGCAGGUUUUCCAAUCUUCACUGAAAAGCUUUA
Molecule: small nuclear RNA, 62 nt
Organism: Homo sapiens (human)
Lineage: Eukaryota; Metazoa; Chordata; Mammalia; Primates; Hominidae
Source: Ensembl